GUGGGGAAUAUUGGACAAUGGGCGAAAGCCUGAUCCAGCAACGCCGCGUGAGGGAUGACGGCCUUCGGGUUGUAAACCUCUUUCAGCAGGGACGAAGCGAAAGUGACGGUACCUGCAGAAGAAGGACCGGCCAACUACGUGCCAGCAGCCGCGGUAAUACGUAGGGUCCGAGCGUUGUCCGGAAUUAUUGGGCGUAAAGGGCUCGUAGGCGGUCUGUCGCGUCGGGAGUGAAAACUCAGGGCUCAACCCUGAGCGUGCUUCCGAUACGGGCAGACUAGAGGUAUGCAGGGGAGAACGGAAUUCCUGGUGUAGCGGUGGAAUGCGCAGAUAUCAGGAGGAACACCGGUGGCGAAGGCGGCUACCUGGUCGAGUACUGACACUGAGACACGAAAGCAUGGGGAUCAAACAGGAUUAGAAACCCCAGUAGUCC
RNAcentral lists this ribosomal RNA (430 nucleotides) under uncultured bacterium. Its description in RNAcentral is "partial 16S ribosomal RNA". It matches the Rfam family "Bacterial small subunit ribosomal RNA", at positions 354 to 796 of the family's 1533-position model. The record is from RNAcentral.